This 469-nucleotide long non-coding RNA is filed under the name Fukomys damarensis (Damara mole-rat). RNAcentral's name for it is "lncRNA (ENSFDAG00000031468.1)". Lineage: Eukaryota; Metazoa; Chordata; Mammalia; Rodentia; Bathyergidae. The record is from RNAcentral.
UGAAAACCAAUCAGAAUUUCUAUCUAGCAAUGGUCUGCUCUCAAAGGACAGUCCUGCUCUGGCCAUGGUGAAGCAAUGACCAGUGAGAGGUGGUGUUGAGAACUCCUAGUCAAAGCUGCUUUCAUGAUUGGUGAGGUUUCUAAAACCUGAAGAAAUCAUGGCUACAUGGCCACCACUGGCUGGACUGUAAAAUGCCUUACCCUCCUGGUAGGACAAUGGGAAGCACCUACAAAAAGUGCAAAUGGGAAUCCUCCCACCCACAGACACAGCCCCCUCCCUAGGAAGCUCACAGUGAAGCCCCAGCCGGUCCAGCAGUAACACCAGCGAGGGGAUGAUCCACUAGGCCUGAGCGCCCUCCUCCCCAGGUUCCAGCAAAGAUGACCAGGAUGCCUUUUGUCUUUGCAAGCCACAUAGCUUCCCUAGGUUAUGCUAAAAGAAAGUUCUCUUACCUGGAAAGAAAUAAGGAAAG